ACGGCUCAGUAACACGUGGACAACCUACCCUCAGAACGGGGAUAAACCCGGGAAACUGGGUAUAAUACCCGAUAGUUCUGGGACGAUGGAAUGCGCCCAGGACGAAAGCUCCGGCGACUGAGGAUGCGUCUGCGGCCUAUCAGGUAGUAGUGGGUGUAAUGUACGUACUAGCCUACGACGGGUACGGGUUGUGAGAGCAAGAGCCCGGAGAUGGAUUCUGAGACACGAAUCCAGGCCCUACGGGGUGCAGCAGGCGCGAAAACUUUACAAUGCUGGCAACAGCGAUAAGGGGACCUAGAUUGCCAGGAUACAAUCUUGGCUGUCGCGAUGCCUAAAAAGCAUUGCAUAGCAAGGGCCGGGCAAGACCGGUCCCAGCCGCCGCUGUAACACCGGCGGCUCGAGUGGUAACCCAUAUUAUUGGGUCUAAAGGGUCUGUAGCCGGCCGGAUAAGUUUCUUGGGAAAUCCAGCAGCUCAACUGUUGGGCUUUCAGGAGAUACUGUUCGGCUAGAGGCCGGGAGAGGUGAGAGGUACUUCAGGGGUAGGGGUGAAAUCUUGUAAUCCUUGAAGGACCACCAGUUCGAAGGCGUCUCACCAGAACGGACCUGACGGCAAGGGACGAAAGCUAGGGGCACGAACCGGAUUAGAUACCCGGGUAGUCCUAGCCGUAAACGAUACUCGCUAGGUGUCAGCCACGGUGCGACCGUGGUUGGUACCGUAGGGAAGCCGUGAAGCGAGCCACCUGGGAAGUACGGCCCCAAGGCUGAAACUUAAAGGAAUUGGCGGGGGAGCAC
This 792-nucleotide ribosomal RNA is filed under the name uncultured archaeon. RNAcentral's name for it is "bacterial SSU rRNA". It matches the Rfam family "Archaeal small subunit ribosomal RNA", at positions 85 to 879 of the family's 1478-position model. The record is from RNAcentral.